Long non-coding RNA from Photinus pyralis (common eastern firefly), 232 nucleotides. RefSeq lists it as uncharacterized. The transcript has 2 exons. The record is from RefSeq and is a predicted model, not a curated record. Lineage: Eukaryota; Metazoa; Arthropoda; Insecta; Coleoptera; Lampyridae.
AUUUGCUUCGGCUCGCUCGUCGGAUAGGUCGAGGCAAAUCUGAGUUGAUCCUGCCCUCGCUUCACAAGCAGGAUGUAGAGUCGUGAUCAGCCAGUAAGCUAAGAAAGGGGACAAUAUAACACGCAAGAAAACAAAAGAUAAGGAGGAGGAAAGCAGAAGCAUAUAUUUGAAAAUCAAUAACCGCACGUAAUGGUAAGAAUUAAAUAAAUUCAACAAUAUCAAAUGAAAAAAA